CGAACGCUGGCGGCAGGCCUAACACAUGCAAGUCGAGCGCACUCUUCGGAGUGAGCGGCGGACGGGUUAGUAACGCGUGGGAACGUGCCCUUCUCUAAGGAAUAGCCACUGGAAACGGUGAGUAAUACCUUAUACGCCNUUCGGGGGAAAGAUUUAUCGGAGAAGGAUCGGCCCGCGUUAGAUUAGAUAGUUGGUGGGGUAACGGCCUACCAAGUCUACGAUCUAUAGCUGGUUUUAGAGGAUGAUCAGCAACACUGGGACUGAGACACGGCCCAGACUCCUACGGGAGGCAGCAGUGGGGAAUCUUGGACAAUGGGCGCAAGCCUGAUCCAGCCAUGCCGCGUGAGUGAUGAAGGCCUUAGGGUCGUAAAGCUCUUUCGCCAGAGAUGAUAAUGACAGUAUCUGGUAAAGAAACCCCGGCUAACUCCGUGCCAGCAGCCGCGGUAAUAC
Molecule: ribosomal RNA, 450 nt
Filed under: uncultured marine bacterium
Lineage: Bacteria
Description: bacterial SSU rRNA
Rfam family: Bacterial small subunit ribosomal RNA
Source: RNAcentral